AGGGUUGUUCAAAUACUCUGAAGAUGCCAGAUCCCAUUUGAUCUCAGAUGCCAAUCAGGGUCAGGUUUGGUUAGUACCUGGAAGGGUGCCAUUUAGGAAUGUCAAGUGCUGACAGGU
RNAcentral lists this ribosomal RNA (117 nucleotides) under Anolis carolinensis (green anole). Lineage: Eukaryota; Metazoa; Chordata; Lepidosauria; Squamata; Anolidae. The record is from RNAcentral.